This 1005-nucleotide long non-coding RNA is filed under the name Anas zonorhyncha (Eastern spot-billed duck). RNAcentral describes it as "lncRNA (ENSAZOG00000000071.1)". The record is from RNAcentral. Lineage: Eukaryota; Metazoa; Chordata; Aves; Anseriformes; Anatidae.
AUGGCUCCGGCCUCCUGGGGAGGCAGGGGAGGAGGGGGAAGAGAACGAAGAGGCGGCUCGGGCUGGCUCCCCCGGGAGAUCUCACCUUUUCGAGAGGUCCAUGAGGACCCCGGAGAAGAGCUUCUCCCCCAGCCGGAACGAGACCACCAGGGCGUCCUCGAUGAUGUGAUCCAGGGUGACCCGCACCUCCGAGCCGGGCAGCAGCGGAGCCUCCGCCUCCCCUUCGCCGGGAGCCCCGGCCACCGGCGACUCGGGCUCGGCAGCGGCGGCAGCAGCAGCAUCCGGCUCCUCCUCCUCCGGCCGGGACGGCUCCUCCCCGGGCUCCGGCUUCGCGGAGCCCCCAGUAGCCGGCGGGCAGGGCUGCGGCUCCUCCUCGGGAAGUCGGGGCUGCCCAGCAGGCGGCGGGCAGGGCUCGGGCUCCGGGCUGGGCGCUCCCCGCAGCUCAGCCCGGGCCGAAGCAGCCGCCGCCAGCACCGCCUCCGGGGCGGCGGGCGGAGGAGGCGGCGGCUUCUCCGGCCUCUGCGCCUCCGCCUCCCGCCUCCCGGCCGGGCUCCGCGCGGGCUGCGGCUCCUCGGCCUCACCGGGAGCAACCUUGCCGCCGCCGCCGCCGUCGGCCUCCUCCCCGUCGGGCACCGCCGACUCCACGGCCUCGGUGACGGCGGGCAGAGGGUCCGCGCCGGCCUCGCUGCCCGGGAUGGGCUCCAGCUCGGGCUCGGCAUCGCCGGCCCCGCCGUCGCCCGGCACCGCCGCAGUCGCCGCCGCCUCCGCAGCCGUGGCCGCCAUUUUGUGUGCUGCCUCCCUCCAGCAGCGGGAUCGAUAGCUGCGGCCUUCCCCCGCCCGCCUGGGAGGGAGGGCCCGCCCCCUAGGCUCGCAUCCGGCGGCCUAUUGGCGGGCGCGCCGCGGCUCUCUGCUCCUACUGGACAGAGGAGCCGUCCGUCAAGCCCGCCUGGAACUUGCUGUUGGCCGGCGGGGACUUCAUUCAAUAGAAAGCCGGGAAGAGGAUGA